Molecule: ribosomal RNA, 497 nt
Filed under: uncultured bacterium
Lineage: Bacteria
Description: partial 16S ribosomal RNA
Rfam family: Bacterial small subunit ribosomal RNA
Source: RNAcentral
GAUGAACGCUGGCGGCGUGCCUAACACAUGCAAGUCGAGCGAACAGACGCUGAUCUUGCGCCUCUGACGUUUGCGGCGCGCGGGUGUGAAACACGAGUAAACCCCCCCUGUCAGAGUGAGAUCUCUUCGAGACACCGGAUAUCAUCCCAGAGAAGAUAUUGAACCACGUGGUGGAAUGGUAAAAGACGGUUUUGCUGUCACUUAUCGCUGUAUCUGCGCCGCAUUAGCGAGUUGUGGGGGUAAAGGCUUACCAAGGGAGCGCUGCGUAUCCGAGCUGAGAGGGUGAUCGGCCACACUGGAACGGAGACACGGUCCAGACGCCUACGGGAGGCAGCAGUAGGGAAUCUUCCGCAAUGGGCGAAAGCUUGACGGAGUAACGCCGCGUGAGUGAUGAAGGUCUUCGGUUCGUAAAGCUCGGUUAUUAGGGAAGAACAGAUGUGUAAUUAAACAAGCACUUCGUGACGGUACCUAAUCAGAAAGCCACGGCUAACUACGUG